AGUUGUUCAUAUUUAGCUCUAUUUGUUACUAAUGUCGUUGAAGGUAAGGAACGUGCACCAUUUCAUUAAGGUUUGUUCCUUCAUUGGGAGGAUACUCAUCCUUUUUGAGUUUUGGUGCCAUGACAAACUAAUCACGAAUCAUGGUUGAUAAGCACUAAUAUAUCCUCUUAAACAUGAAUCUAUGUUAGUGUCAUCACUAAGGAAACUUGACUCCUCUCCCGCCGAAAUCUUGUGGUAGUAUGACUUUACUGAAAAUGCACAUCACUUCGUGCCACCUACAUCCACGAGUCGCCGAAAUCUUGUGGUAGCAUGACUUUACCGAAGAUGCGCAUCACUUCGUGCCACCCACCUCCACGGGUCCUCACCGUUGAGAGUGGCACUCUGUAAAAUUUCCUUCAACCUUUGAAAUCCAUCCAUCUCCCACUCAUGUAAAUUCCAGACAGUGAAAUUCCCCCUCUUUUACCACCCGAAUCUGUUGUACCAUCGUCUCUUUCUGGCACGAAACUCUAAAUAAGUUGGGGAAUGUCGUUCUCAUAUACUCUUUCCGCAGUCCGCACCACGGUUGAUCUUAAAAACUGACUAUACUUCCAUUCCCUACUGUAUAAGUAACUAAGCCAUUGAAAUCUUCCUAACCCUUCAUAGUACUUCUCUACGUUUCUAGACCUCCAUUCCCCUUCCACGACUCCAUAUUUUCCUGCUAUCACCUCCCUCCAUAAUGCCUGCUCUUCAACCCUGAAUCUCCAUAACCACUUCCCAAGAAGUGCCUUGAUCAAAAAGGAUUUUCAUUCCAAGCCCUCCCAUAUCACCUUAACUUUUACCCUUUC
This 824-nucleotide long non-coding RNA is filed under the name Nicotiana benthamiana. Its description in RNAcentral is "long non-coding RNA (NBEN_LNC008256)". Lineage: Eukaryota; Viridiplantae; Streptophyta; Magnoliopsida; Solanales; Solanaceae. The record is from RNAcentral.